AAGUCGGGCCUGCCCACUGAGUAAUAGAAGGGCCGCGGUAUUUUCACCGUGCAAAGGUAGCAUAAACAUUAGUCUUUUAAUUGAGGGCUGGAAUGAAUGGUUUGACGAAAUAUUAACUGUCUUUAUGUUAUAUAUAGAAUUUAUUUUUAAAGUUAAAAAACUAAAAUACUUAUGUGGGACGAGAAGACCCUAUAGAGCUUUAUAUAGUUAUAAAUAUAAUAUAUUAUGGUUAAUUUAUAGUAUUAUAAUAUAUUAUGUUGGGGAGACUUCAAAAAAAAACAACUCUUCUUUAUAUAUAAACAUUGAUAUAUCAAUUAAUCAUCCAAUAUUAUUGAUUAAAAGAUAUAGUUACCUUACGGAUAUCAGCGUUUUUUCUUGUGAGUUCAUAUCGAAAGAAAAGAUUGCGACCUCGAUGUUGGAUAAAAAAAAAGAUUAUAUGUACCAGUUAUAUUUAUAUGUCUGUUCGACUUUAUAUUUCUUAC
Molecule: ribosomal RNA, 482 nt
Filed under: Afroagraecia sp. Kisarawe
Lineage: Eukaryota; Metazoa; Arthropoda; Insecta; Orthoptera; Tettigoniidae
Description: partial 16S ribosomal RNA
Source: RNAcentral